This 437-nucleotide ribosomal RNA is filed under the name uncultured bacterium. RNAcentral's name for it is "partial 16S ribosomal RNA". It matches the Rfam family "Bacterial small subunit ribosomal RNA", at positions 28 to 507 of the family's 1533-position model. The record is from RNAcentral.
GAUGAACGCUGGCGGCAUGCCUAACACAUGCAAGUCGAACGGGAAGUCGUGUAUCCCGUGCCGCUCGGGUUAGCAACGCGCAAGAACCUGACCUUUGGAGGGGAACCACAGCUGGCAACGGCUGCUACUACCCCGUAGUCCGAGUAGCACAAGAAGGAAUCCACCCGAGGAGGGGCUUGCGCCUGAUUAGCUAGGUGGUGCGGCAAUAGCUUACCAAGGCGAUGAUCAGUAGCUGGUACGAGAGGACGAUCGGCCACACUGGGACGGAGGCACGGUCCAGACACCUACGGGAGGCAGCAGUGGGGAAUUUUCCGCAAUGGGCGAAAGCCUGACGGGGCAAUGCGGCGUGGAGGUAGAAGGCCCAGGGGUGGUGAACUGCUUGUCACGGAGAAGAAGCAAUGACGGUAACUGGGGAAUAAGCAUCGGCUAACUCUGUG